AUGAAGGUAACGAAUCCUGUGAAGUUUUUGUUGAUGUUGCAGAGUUGUUGCGAAGAAGUAGAUUGGAGUUGCUGCGAUUUUGAUGAUGAAGAAUUGAAGAACGAUUAUGAUGAGAGGAGAAGAGAGAGUUUGUUGAAGAUUAGGGUAAUUCUCCCAAAAGAAUGGAGAAUGAAUGAAUUAAGGUUUGAAGCAAGCAAGAACAAGUCCAUUUGGUGGCUAUUUAAAGGAUUGGACAUGGUUUUGAGCACAAUGUUGCACAAGGAUUAG
Vicia faba (fava bean) is the source of this 267-nucleotide non-coding RNA. The record is from the annotation of a GenBank genome assembly. NCBI's taxonomy places the organism in Eukaryota, Viridiplantae, Streptophyta, Magnoliopsida, Fabales, Fabaceae.